AUGUGACUGAUAGGACAUCACCAGUAAACCAUUCACUCGGACUUUCAACUGUCACUUCAGGAACACAUGUGACUGAUAGGACAUCACCAGUAAACCAUUCUCUCGGACUUUCAACUGUCACUUCAGGAACACAUGUGACUGAUAGGAGUUCCUCUGAUGCCACUUAUGAUGUGUUACCAGUUGUCCUUUUGAGUGGUUUGUUGGCCCUGUUUGUGCUACUUAUCCUUUUGGUCUUGAUCCUCUGGCCCAUUUGCAAGAGAGGAAGAUAUUACACACACGAGCCAAAUGAAACAGAAGGUCCAAAGGUCCACGAACUGUCCGACUCUUCAGAUGAAGAUCUGUGAUCAUCAUCAUCAUCAUCCUCCUCCUCCCUUCACAGCAUCUCCUGCUUGAUUCGGGACUUUUAUCACAUUUCUGUUUUCUUUUCUGUCCACUGUCCUCUUUUUUACUGACCAGGAGAUGUUUUUAAAUCCACCUCUUAUCAUUUUUUUUCCUCUUUAUUUCAUUUAUCUGCAUCGUGAAGAAUCCGGCUUUAGCGUUUAGUGUUAAAUGAGGAAUUUUGACUGUUUUUUUUUUAAUGAAGAGACAAUUUUUCAUUUCAUCAAACCAUCUUUAUUUCAUCCGUGUCUCUGCCUUUAACGGCUCCUUCAUCCUGACCAUGUCCAAUCUGCAAACAUCAAAUAUUCAGUGGGACAGACAAUGUUCCUUUCACUCAUGCUGAUGUUUUAUUAAUCUUCUAAUAUCUUUAACGCACUUUAAAAAAAUAAAAAAGAGUCUGGACUUUGAAGUCCCGUCUCAGACAUAAAAUCAGGACAAAAAGAUAAAACGUUCCUAUAAAUGAUGACUUAGACUGCAGUUUGUGGAUAAAGUUCAGCGCUGAACUGAUUAAACCAACCAAGUUGUAAGAUUUUAAAUCCAUGUAUUUUGUCAAAAAAGAAAGAAAGAAGAGUUAUGAAGUGGUUGAAAUAAUAAAUGCACACCCUUUAUUUAUUUGAAUGCUAACAAACAUUUCUAACCCUAAAAGGAAGAACGCUAACAUCCUGCUCUGCUCUGCAGACAUCCCCUUCACUACAACAUCCCUGUUUUAAACAGUCUCAGGAGCAACCAGCUGCCUUCAAGGUCACACAGUCGCUUUAUUUUUUUCCAACAUCUGCGUGAAAUCACAGCAAUCGACUCAACAGCUUGAAUAAAAGCAGCUGUUUACUGCGGCCCGUCGCUUUUUAAGGGCAGAUCCACACAAAGGCAGUGGUGUGGGCUCUGAAGACCUCCUAAAGCUUCAGGGAACGCAUCAGGUAAGGGACUUUAAAAGAUUCCUGAGGCUUUGAAGAUUCCCUGGGGUACUUGUUAAGUCCAUUAUUCAGGAGAGGAAAGUGCAUGGCACCACUCACAGUCUGGGCUUCCAUCAAAAACUAGAUGACUCAGAAAGGAGACGCUUGGUGAGAAAGACCACCAAGAACCAAAAGAUCUACAGGAAUUUAAGGCCAACAGAUGAAAAGGUGCAUCACACAACAAUAUCAAAGAUAUUGCACAUCUGGCCUGUGUGGUGGAAAGAAGAAAGCCAGGUCUCUAAAAGGUUCCUCUGGAGUGCUGUAUGAAGUUCGCACACUUAAGAUGCCUGCAACAAACUGGCAGAAGAUUUUUUUUUUUUAGUGGUCAGAACAACAACCCAUCUGGACUGUGAAGCAUGGUGGUGGAAGGAUAGUGGAUGUUUCUCAUCUUCAGAGGAACGACUGAGAGGAGGAUGAAUGAAGAAUGAAGUAAAGGGAGAUUCUGGGGCCUGAUGAAAUCUGCAAAACAUCUGAAAAUGGGUCAGGAAUUCAUAUUCCAACAAGACAGUGACCACAAGCAGAAGGUCAAAACCAGCAUGGUGUGAUUUAUUAGGAACAAAGUGGAUGGUCUGGAGUAGGCGAGUCAAAUCCCUGUUCUAAAUCCAGCUGAAAAGUUAAAACAAAAUGAACAGUUCUGCAAAGAGGAGUGAGGGAGAAGAUCUCCAGAUCCUGGUGUGCUAGCCAGCCUGAGUUGACUCUGGAGGCGUGUGUAACUGAGCAAAUUUCAGUUCUGUUAAUUCUAUCUUUUUUCCAGUAAAAAUGAAUCCACAGUCAUGCAGUCAUGUGGCACGGUGUCUUCAAAUCAGGAGAAAUAAAUCCUUCAACUUUGGAGAACCAGAUACAACACAAUGUAAAGGUGUUGAAAAGGGUGUGCAUUCAGUUUCUGUCCACUGUAAUCAUGUAAAACCAGGUGAUAUUAACAUGUUACUUUCUUUUUUUUGUUGUGAUGCAUUAAAUAAAUCACGCUUUCUGUGUCCUGAAAGCAUUUUUUACGUGGUCUUAUAGGUAUAUACACUGACCAGCCAUAACAUUAUGACCACCUGUCUAACAUUGUGAUGGUGCCCCUUUUGCUGCCAAAACAGCCUUGACUCGUCGAGACAUGGACUCCACUAGAUCCCUGAAGGUGUGCUGUGGGAUCUGGCACCAAGAUGUUAGCAGCAGAUCCUUCAAGUCCUGGAAGUUGCAAGGUGGGGCCUCCAUGGGAUACUUACAGGACUUAAAGGAUACUUUUGAUAGACCGGGAACACCCCACAAGUCCUGCAGUUUAGGAGAUCCUCUGAUCCAGUGGUCUAGGAGGAGGGGUUUGUAGGAAACUCUGCCCCUGCUGUAGUGUUCGAUAUUCUAGGUACUAAUAAAGAGCCUGUUCCUAUAGCUCUAGCAACAUGGAGGAUCAUAACUUGUACAGUAAGACAGAUGAGGGUGAUGUGGUCAUAACUUCAGGUUGAACAGAGUUACAGUAGGUUAACAGCAGGUAACUAAAGCAUGUAAAGCUGUGGUGGUUCUUAUCCUAGCAGAAAGAAGAGAUGAGGGACUGGAAUCAAUAAUCACACCAGAGUUAUUCCUGCUAGCUGCUUGUGCUGCUAAAACGCUAAAGGUACAGUCUUUAAAGUAGUCUUCUAGCUCUUUCCUUUUAUACAGUUAUCAAUGUCUUGCACGUUUACUCUCAGCGUUUAGAUCUAAAUUACCAUUUAAAGCUUCUCUGUAGGCAGUGUUAAGAUUGCAUCGGCGCUAACACAGUGACCGGUCAGUGUAGAGACAUUCACUAAAGUGUCAUUUCACUCUGAUGACCUGCUUAACAACAAAACUCUUUGAAAUGGAAGAGAUGAAGACGUGUUUGUUUACGUUAUUUAUAUUGAAGUGUCAGCGUGUAAUGAAGCGAGAUUUAAAGCCGGCAGUAAAACCAGGCUUUUCUUCACAACAUCUGGAAAUAACGCCUGCGAGUGUUGUGCAGUUUAAUAAUAAUACACAUUAACGUGAUUAAACCAAGCAGCUUACGGCGGAUUGGAGUCGUUUUCAUUAAGCUGCUCCGUGUGUGUGUGUGUGUGUGUGUGUGAGAAAGAGAGAGA
Molecule: long non-coding RNA, 3394 nt
Organism: Hemibagrus wyckioides
Lineage: Eukaryota; Metazoa; Chordata; Actinopteri; Siluriformes; Bagridae
Exons: 6
Source: RefSeq, a predicted model, not a curated record